RNAcentral lists this ribosomal RNA (1004 nucleotides) under Pediococcus pentosaceus. RNAcentral's name for it is "bacterial SSU rRNA". It matches the Rfam family "Bacterial small subunit ribosomal RNA", at positions 64 to 1050 of the family's 1533-position model. The record is from RNAcentral. Lineage: Bacteria; Bacillati; Bacillota; Bacilli; Lactobacillales; Lactobacillaceae.
GUACUUGUACUGAUUGAGAUUUUAACACGAAGUGAGUGGCGAACGGGUGAGUAACACGUGGGUAACCUGCCCAGAAGUAGGGAAUAACACCUGGAAACAGAUGCUAAUACCGUAUAACAGAGAAAACCGCAUGGUUUUCUUUUAAAAGAUGGCUCUGCUAUCACUUCUGGAUGGACCCGCGGCGUAUUAGCUAGUUGGUGAGGUAAAGGCUCACCAAGGCAGUGAUACGUAGCCGACCUGAGAGGGUAAUCGGCCACAUUGGGACUGAGACACGGCCCAGACUCCUACGGGAGGCAGCAGUAGGGAAUCUUCCACAAUGGACGCAAGUCUGAUGGAGCAACGCCGCGUGAGUGAAGAAGGGUUUCGGCUCGUAAAGCUCUGUUGUUAAAGAAGAACGUGGGUAAGAGUAACUGUUUACCCAGUGACGGUAUUUAACCAGAAAGCCACGGCUAACUACGUGCCAGCAGCCGCGGUAAUACGUAGGUGGCAAGCGUUAUCCGGAUUUAUUGGGCGUAAAGCGAGCGCAGGCGGUCUUUUAAGUCUAAUGUUAAAGCCUUCGGCUCAACCGAAGAAGUGCAUUGGAAACUGGGAGACUUGAGUGCAGAAGAGGACAGUGGAACUCCAUGUGUAGCGGUGAAAUGCGUAGAUAUAUGGAAGAACACCAGUGGCGAAGGCGGCUGUCUGGUCUGCAACUGACGCUGAGGCUCGAAAGCAUGGGUAGCGAACAGGAUUAGAUACCCUGGUAGUCCAUGCCGUACACGAUGAUUACUAAGUGUUGGAGGGUUUCCGCCCUUCAGUGCUGCAGCUAACGCAUUAAGUAAUCCGCCUGGGGAGUACGACCGCAAGGUUGAAACUCAAAAGAAUUGACGGGGGCCCGCACAAGCGGUGGAGCAUGUGGUUUAAUUCGAAGCUACGCGAAGAACCUUACCAGGUCUUGACAUCUUCUGACAGUCUAAGAGAUUAGAGGUUCCCUUCGGGGACAGAAUGACAGGUGGUGCAUGGUU